RNAcentral lists this ribosomal RNA (463 nucleotides) under uncultured bacterium. RNAcentral describes it as "bacterial SSU rRNA". It matches the Rfam family "Bacterial small subunit ribosomal RNA", at positions 337 to 793 of the family's 1533-position model. The record is from RNAcentral.
UCCUACGGGAGGCAGCAGUGGGGAAUAUUGCACAAUGGGCGCAAGCCUGAUGCAGCCAUGCCGCGUGUAUGAAGAAGGCCUUCGGGUUGUAAAGUACUUUCAGCAGUGAGGAAGGCGGGUACGUUAAUAGCGUGCUCGUUUGACGUUAGCUGCAGAAGAAGCACCGGCUAACUCCGUGCCAGCAGCCGCGGUAAUACGGAGGGUGCGAGCGUUAAUCGGAAUUACUGGGCGUAAAGCGCAUGCAGGUGGUUUGUUAAGUCAGAUGUGAAAGCCCGGGGCUCAACCUCGGAAUUGCAUUUGAAACUGGCAGACUAGAGUACUGUAGAGGGGGUAGAAUUUCAGGUGUAGCGGUGAAAUGCGUAGAGAUCUGAAGGAAUACCGGUGGCGAAGGCGGCCCCCUGGACAGAUACUGACACUCAGAUGCGAAAGCGUGGGGAGCAAACAGGAUUAGAUACCCUGGUAG